GAUCCUGGCUCAGGAUGAACGCUAGCUACAGGCUUAACACAUGCAAGUCGAGGGGCAGCAUGGUCUUAGCUUGCUAAGGCCGAUGGCGACCGGCGCACGGGUGAGUAACACGUAUCCAACCUGCCGUCUACUCUUGGACAGCCUUCUGAAAGGAAGAUUAAUACAAGAUGGCAUCAUGAGUCCGCAUGUUCACAUGAUUAAAGGUAUUCCGUGAG
This 215-nucleotide ribosomal RNA is filed under the name uncultured bacterium. RNAcentral describes it as "partial 16S ribosomal RNA". It matches the Rfam family "Bacterial small subunit ribosomal RNA", at positions 15 to 221 of the family's 1533-position model. The record is from RNAcentral.